CACCAGAGCCACUAGUGGCAAUCGCGAUUAUUGGGCCUAAAGGGUCCGUAGCUGACUCAAUAAAUCUUUUGUGAAAUUGUUAGACUUAAUCUAACAGCGUGCAAAAGAAACUGUUGAGUUUGAGACCAGGAAGAGGCAGAAGUAUUCUGAGUGGAGUGGUAAAAUAUUAUAAUCCUCAGAAGACUACCUAUGGCGAAGGCAUCUGCCUAGAAUGGGUCUGACAGUGAGGGACGAAGGCUAGGGGAGCGAUCCGGAUUAGAUACCCGCGUA
RNAcentral lists this ribosomal RNA (270 nucleotides) under uncultured prokaryote. RNAcentral's name for it is "partial 16S ribosomal RNA". It matches the Rfam family "Archaeal small subunit ribosomal RNA", at positions 474 to 743 of the family's 1478-position model. The record is from RNAcentral.